Molecule: unclassified non-coding RNA, 316 nt
Filed under: uncultured fungus
Lineage: Eukaryota; Fungi
Description: partial contains small subunit ribosomal RNA, internal transcribed spacer 1, and 5.8S ribosomal RNA
Rfam family: Eukaryotic small subunit ribosomal RNA (bases 1-73)
Source: RNAcentral
ACAAACUUGGUCAUUUAGAGGAAGUAAAAGUCGUAACAAGGUUUCCGUAGGUGAACCUGCGGAAGGAUCAUUACCGAGUUAGGGUCUUCUCAGGCCCGAUCUCCCAACCCUUUGUCGAACUUACCACUUGUUGCUUCGGCGGGCCCGUCCCCUGAGGACCGCCGGGGGGUCGUCAAACGCCCUCUGGCCCGCGCCCGUCGACAGCCUCAACAUUAAACUCUGAACAAAACGUGUCACGAUCUGAGUAUCUAUAAAAAUAAAGCACAAAACUUUCAACAACGGAUCUCUUGGUUCUGGCAUCGAUGAAGAACGCAGC